Molecule: unclassified non-coding RNA, 180 nt
Filed under: fungal sp.
Lineage: Eukaryota; Fungi
Description: partial internal transcribed spacer region
Rfam family: Eukaryotic small subunit ribosomal RNA (bases 1-46)
Source: RNAcentral
AAGUCGUAACAAGGUUUCCGUAGGUGAACCUGCGGAAGGAUCAUUAAAAAUUUAUAUUCCGGGAAUUCGUUUCGUUUUCCCGGAUUUAUUUGUAUUCAAAUCCCACUCUUUAUUAAAUAUAUUAAUUAUAUAAAACAAAAAUAAAAAAGAAAACUUUCAACAACGGAUCUCUUGGCUCUC